Long non-coding RNA from Saccostrea echinata, 332 nucleotides. RefSeq lists it as uncharacterized. The transcript is spliced from 2 exons. The record is from RefSeq and is a predicted model, not a curated record. Lineage: Eukaryota; Metazoa; Mollusca; Bivalvia; Ostreida; Ostreidae.
AAAACGCUUCAUUGAAAUAAUAUCCCUGUUUUGGUUGUUGGAAAAGAUGGAAUUGGUGAUGAAACUAAUGUUGAUAAUAUUAAUGUCAGGACUCAUCAUCCAAAUAGCCGCUGACGUCAAGGUUUUGGAAUGUCAAAGCUCGUGCACUGAUGCGUUUCUCCAGUGUGUGAAGUUAUACGACUGUAGCAAACGUCCUGAAGAUAGUAAGGAGUGCGGACUUUUCUGUUCCAAAUGGGUGGACGAGUGCAUGUCCGGCUGCAGAUAAAAUGUAGAAUUACACCCACAUAACACAGUAUAUCUGAAUAUAUAUACAAAUAAAGAAUGAUCAUCGU